GUCACCUGGGAGCUUUUCUGGGGCUGUCAACUGGAACACCGCAGGAUUUCUCCAUGUGGCCUGGGUUUCCUCACACCAGUGGUGGCUAGGUUCCCAAGUUCGAAAAAGAAAAACAGCAUGAUAUUCGAUCAUUUUUUUUACCACAACCUAAAAAAAGACAGUUGAUGACCUCCUGUGACGAAUCAAAGAGAUUCCAGGAGGAAAAUACUGUAGUGUCAUCAGACCCUACAAAAACAGCUGCAAGAGAUAUCAUCGAUUAUGAAAGUGAUGUUGAACCUGAAACUAAAAGAUUGAAAUUGGCCACCUCAGAAGACCACUGCAGUCCGUCAGAAGAGACACCAUCCCAGUCCAAGCAAAUCAGAACUCCACUCAUGGAAAGUGUCCAGGAGGCCAAGGCCCAGUCAACCACCCCAGCCUUUCCUGUAGAGGGCUGGCCGUGUAGUCUCUGCACCUAUAUCAAUAAUUCAGUGUUACCUUAUUGUGAAAUGUGUGAGACUCCUCAAGGCAGUGCUGUUAUGCAAAUAGAUAGCCUCAACCAUAUCCAGGAUAAAAACGAGAAGGAUGAUUCUCAGAAAGACACCUCCAAAAAGGUUCAAACUAUCUCAGACUGUGAAAAACAAGCCCUUGCACGGUCAGAACCUGGCCAGUUGGCUGACAGCAAGGAAGAAACAUCAAAAAUUGAGAAAGAAGACGGACUUACAUCCCAGCCAGAACAGUUGAAGAGUUCAGACACUUCGCCAGUGUAUGACACCUUAAUGUUUUGUGCAAGUAGGAAUACUGACCGGAUUCACAUCUAUACUAAGGAUGGAAAACAGAUGAGCUGUAAUUUCAUUCCUUUGGAUAUAAAAUUAGACCUUUGGGAAGAUUUACCAGCAAGCUUUCAGCUGAAACAAAAUCGCUCACUGAUUUUGAGAUUUGUUCGAGAAUGGAGUAGUCUAACUGCCAUGAAGCAAAGGAUAAUCAGGAAAAGUGGACAGCUAUUCUGUAGCCCCAUUCUUGCUUUGGAAGAGAUCACAAAGCAACAAACCAAACAAAAUUGCACCAAAAGAUACAUAACCAAAGAAGAUGUUGCCGUAGCCUCAAUGGACAAAGUGAAGAAUGCUGGGGGCCAUGUCCGUCUGAUCACAAAGGAGUCCAGGCCACGGGAUCCUUUCACAAAAAAGCUUCUUGAAGAUGGAGCCUGUGUCCCAUUUCUAAAUCCAUACACAGUCCAGGCAGAUCUCACUGUGAAGCCCUCUACAUCCAAAGGCUAUUUGCAAGCUGUGGAUAAUGAAGGAAAUCCACUUUGCCUUCGCUGUCAGCAACCCACUUGCCAGACUAAGCGAGCGUGUAAAGCGAACUCUUGGGAUUCACGGUUUUGCUCUCUGAAAUGUCAGGAAGAGUUUUGGAUUCGAUCUAAUAACAGUUACCUGCGAGCCAAAGUAUUUGAAACUGAACGUGGUGUGUGUCAACUCUGUAAUGUGAAUGCACAAGAACUCUUUUUACGUCUGAGAGAUGCCCCUAAAAGUCAGAGGAAGAAUCUUCUGGAUGCUACCUGGACUUCAAAGCUCCCAUUAGAACAGCUAAAUGAAAUGAUAAGAAACCCAGGGGAAGGACAUUUCUGGCAGGUGGAUCAUAUCAAGCCAGUGUAUGGGGGAGGAGGACAGUGUUCCCUGGACAACCUGCAGACUCUCUGCACAGUCUGUCACAAAGAGAGAACUGCCAGACAAGCUAAGGAAAGAAGCCAGGUGAGAAGACAAUCUCUAGCAUCAAAGCAUGGAUCAGACAUCACACGAUUUUUGGAAACCUCAAAGCUGCAUGAAUCACACAAGGUAACAGGUGCCGAGCAAGGUCUGCAGGUUUCUGGAUUGCCAGAUAGUGCAGCACCUGAAGGAGGCACAGCACACACAAAUGAUCAGCGCAGGUGUCAAAGGAUGAAGCAGCCACUUACAAAAGUGCAAAUCCUCAGCCACUCGUCUUAAUCCUUAACAAGACAGCACUCCAGGUAGGCAGCCACGACCCCAAAGGCUUCUGGAACCAUACUGAUUUAAGUUUUACUCAGUGGAUAGUUCUAUAGAAUUAAUGAUGAUGUAUGCCAAAAACCUUUCAGUGAUUCUAACUUCAAGCCUGUAAAAAAAGACGAGGCUUCCCAGUGUUUGUGGUGGUGGAUCUGCCUGGUUCUCAAUUACACCCUAAGCGAUCAUACUCAAGAAUAGUACAGAUGUGUGGAAUACGCCAAUACCUUUAACUACAGACAUCAUGUUCUCAAGAUAAAAGCCUUUAAAACAAAAAGCCAUCGUAGGUAUCAAGUCAACAUGAAAUUGGAAUGCAAAAUUAAUGCUGCUGAGGAUUUCCUUCAUAUCCCAUGCUGUUUAUCUCUUCCACAGUCCUAGAAUCAAUCUUUUUAAAUUAAGAGACAGAGUCUGUCUUUGUUACCCAGGCUGGAGUACAGUGGUUCCAUCAAAGCUCAGUGCAGCCUCCAACUCCUGGGCUCAAUCAUCUUGCCUCAGCCUCCUCUUCCUGAGUAGCUGCAACUACAGACACAUGCCCCAAUACUCAGCUAAUUUUUAAAUUUUUGUGGAGAUGA
This 2566-nucleotide small RNA is filed under the name Pongo abelii (Sumatran orangutan). RNAcentral describes it as "processed transcript". The record is from RNAcentral. Lineage: Eukaryota; Metazoa; Chordata; Mammalia; Primates; Hominidae.